Molecule: long non-coding RNA, 2807 nt
Organism: Tarenaya hassleriana
Lineage: Eukaryota; Viridiplantae; Streptophyta; Magnoliopsida; Brassicales; Cleomaceae
Exons: 8
Source: RefSeq, a predicted model, not a curated record
GCUGCCUCAUGAAUUCAGUAUUGUAUCCGGAUUCAGCAUAUGAUGCGGUGUCAGCAAGGGAUGAAUGAGUCGAAAGGCGGAAACAGUUGUUUCCUGAAAUGAAAUGUCAUCAGAAAUGGAAUGUUAUUCAUUUUCAAAGAAGCAAUAACAACUUGAUACCAAGGUACAAGCAUGGAUAUAUCUUGAUUUGUUUGUUGGGAAAGCUGCUUGGAUUUACAAAAUGAUGAAUCGCUAGGGUCAAAUCCAGUGGCUGCGUUAUCAUGUCAGAGAUCGGGUUGCCAGAUGAAAUUGGGAGUGCAGUCGAAUUACCCGUUAUAACAUCUUUCCAUGGCGCUUUGUUAUUUUCACGGAAUUUAUGACGCAUCCAGCCCAGGAACUGCCAGGAUGAUCAGCCUAGUAAGUCUCAAAACAAUUUAACUACGAACUCUGUAGGUUUAGGACGUACCUUCAUUUUGUACUUCGGUUUUCACACGAAUGGCAAUCUAAGAGGAGAAAAGGACUUUAAUAGAGAAAACUGAUUCCUUGAAAGCUCGUCAUAGUUUCUAGCAGUGAGUUGGUUGCUUUGAGUAUCUCAAGUCUUUUAGGUGGAUGACAGUGGAAACAAACGAGAAGAAGGCUACAAAAACUUUGGUUGGGCAUUCUCUAUCAAGAUCACAUCAAAAACAAGUUGGAGGGUCACUACAUACAUGAGUUGGUACUGUUGUGGUUAUGUUUCGUGUACAUUUAUGAUGGAGUAGCUCAAAUGGAUUACAAUCAUUGAUCUUCUCAAUUGCUUCUUGUUGAGUUCACUGUUAAAAAUUUGUUUUAUAUGUAUUUGCGUAAUGAGCUAUUGAUUAAUAUACUAAUAGACAUGUGAACCAUGUAGCUGGACAAUGCAUGUGCGAUGAACUUUCUUCAUUGCUUGAUCAUGAAAUUCCAACAUCCAAUUGUGGUUGAAGCAAUAUUAGGACCGUUUUAUGAGCAUGUUCUAUGAUAGGAAACAGUUUGUCAGUGUUUCAUACACUGCUAGAAACUGCACACUUUUGUGUCAGAUUUUCCUGUCUUGCAUUGGUUAGAUAACUCAUGUGACAGUGGCUGAAUGGAGAGAUGUGAACGUUUUUUGUGGUAGAUAGAUCUUGCAUCGGUUUUUGAAAUCAAAAUGCCGAACAGUUGAAGUCUUGGAACCUUCGUUUAUUUUGAAGAGACAGGGGAUACAUUUUCAGGCUUGAAUCGUCAUCUAGCAAUGUGGGGCACUUCUGUUUCGGAUGUUUUCGGGAGCUCUGUGACUGUGACAAAAAAAAAAAGAGGACACGGGGUUAAGUUGCCUCAGACAACUGAAGCUGUCCAAAAGACAUCAGGAAGAAGCCCUUUCGCUGGUUUCCACAAGAGCUGAAGAACACAACUUCAAAGAAACGUUGAGGAAAACGGAGGAUGAUAAAUAUGCCAAGCUUUUCAGAAGAAUGAAUCCUCCCUGGUAAUUUCACCUCUUCUUCUUUCAAGUCCCUUGUUGGGCUGAAAUGUUGGUCUGUGUGACAGAGUACUGUUAUUCAGGCGGCGACUUCAUUCUUUAAUCUCUUGGUGUUUAUUCUUCUUUUGCCGUGUGUUUGUUUAGUUGCGGUUAUGUAUUUUUCUUUUGCCGGAUUUAUGGAUAUUGGUGUUUGAGUAUGUAUGUAUGUAUGUAUGUAUGUAUGGGAAGUUGGGAACAGGUGGAUGGUGUGAACAAACGGGGGCUCUAUUGGAAGUGGUGCAAGUGCUCACUGAUUUGAAUCUUGUCAUUAAAAAAGCUUACAUCUCUUUCGACUCCGGAUGGUUCAUGGACAGUAUCUGUGCUCACUCUCUCUCAUCUCCGUGUUUCUUUGAUCUUAUCAUACAUCUUUCUCUCCUUUGUGAUUUUCAGUGUUCAAAGUGAUUGACCAAGAUGGAAAUAAAAUCGAAGACACUCAAGUCCUUGAUUUCAUCCAAAGGAGACUGGAGAGCAAAGCUGGUUGGCUUACUCUGCCUCUGGGAAGCUCUCUCAGUGUUAUGCCCUCCAACCAAUACACUGACAGGCCCGGUCUCUUGUCCGAAAUCUCAGCUGUUCUCUCCGAUCUUAAUGCUGCUCUUUGGACUCACAACUCUUAUGCUGCCGCUGUGAUUCACCUCAUCUACAAUUCCACUCAUUCUGCUACUAAAGACCCUAAUCACCUUUCCACCAUUGGACAAUGUUGUGGGAGCAAACAGCCAUUUAAGAAGGGCUAGAACGGCAUUUUCUUGUUGUGAUACGCAAUGGGAGAGGUGGCUGCAUCAGACCAUGUUCGACGAUGGGGCUACGAGGAGGUCGGAAGAGGAAGGACUUGGACCUCGAGGCCUAAACAUCAUGCUCUUGAACAUCGAUACACUGGUUUUGACCAUGAGGUCGAAUAUGCAGUGCAUGGUGUUCCAUACUCCAUACUCCAUAGCAUGGUUCAGAGGCUUAUCGGUAAAUAUUCACGAUUUCAGCUGGAGGAGUUUUCAACACGAUGGAGCUUUACAUCGGACAUGUUUCCCGUGUCAGACAGUGUCUUAAGCAGCAAUUGAGGGAAGAGGACGUAUGUUUGCUUAAUAGCCUCGUCAAAGGCAAAGCCUCUGGACUUUUGUCUGCACAAAAAAAGAAAACCAGUGAUGAUAUCACUUUGUGAAGUCAUCUCUUUUCCUUUGGACAGAUUAUGUAAUAUUUUAACCCAAACAAGUAUAUGUAUGAAACAAACAAACAUGCGUGCAUAUUUCACCACCUUUGUUGUUGUAUGUAUCAGCUCCAUUCUGGUAUGUACGACAGAAUUCGCGAGUUGUUAGGAGAUUUUGGUAACAUC